GCUCCACGUUUUCCCGCCCCUAAAACCCUUCCCCAACAUCUUGCUUCCCGUUUUCUCUCUCUUCUUCUUCGUAGACAAGGCAUUUUUCUCUUUGCCCCAUUGAUUUACAUCUCUGCAGUCCUUUUUUACAUCAAUACUCUCGACUUUCACAGCCUUCCACCUCCUCAUUAUGCACCACCUGGCUCUGUUUACCGUAGCCCGCAA
This 204-nucleotide unclassified non-coding RNA is filed under the name Hevea brasiliensis (rubber tree). Lineage: Eukaryota; Viridiplantae; Streptophyta; Magnoliopsida; Malpighiales; Euphorbiaceae. The record is from RNAcentral.